AUUGAACGCUGGCGGCAGGCCUAACACAUGCAAGUCGAGCGAGAGGCGGACGGGUGAGUAAUGUCUGGGAAACUGCCUGAUGGAGGGGGAUAACUACUGGAAACGGUAGCUAAUACCGCAUACCAUCAGAUGUGCCCAGAUGGGAUUAGCUAGUCGGUGGGGUAAUGGCUCACCUAGGCGACGAUCCCUAGCUGGUCUGAGAGGAUGACCAGCCAGACUGGAACUGAGACACGGUCCAGACUCCUACGGGAGGCAGCAGGGGUGAAUAUUGCGCAAUGGGCGCAAGCCUGAUGCAGCCAUGCCGCGGGGGUGAAGAAGGCCUUCGGGUUGUAAAGCACUUUCAGCGGGGAGGCGUUACGCGCAGAAGAAGCACCGGCUAACUCCGUGCCAGCCGCCGCGGUAAUAC
Molecule: ribosomal RNA, 406 nt
Filed under: uncultured bacterium
Lineage: Bacteria
Description: partial 16S ribosomal RNA
Rfam family: Bacterial small subunit ribosomal RNA
Source: RNAcentral